UACAGAGGGUGCAAGCGUUAAUCGGAAUUAUUGGGCGUAAAGGGCGCGUAGGCGGCUUGGCAAGUGGAAGGUGAAAUCCCUCGGCUUAACCGAGGAACUGCCCUCCAAACUGCUUCGCUUGAGACCGGGAGAGGUGAGUGGAAUUCCCAGUGUAGCGGUGAAAUGCGUAGAUAUUGGGAGGAACACCAGUGGCGAAGGCGGCUCACUGGACCGGUACUGACGCUGAUGCGCGAAAGCGUGGGGAGCAAACAGG
RNAcentral lists this ribosomal RNA (253 nucleotides) under uncultured bacterium. RNAcentral's name for it is "partial 16S ribosomal RNA". It matches the Rfam family "Bacterial small subunit ribosomal RNA", at positions 524 to 776 of the family's 1533-position model. The record is from RNAcentral.